RNAcentral lists this ribosomal RNA (225 nucleotides) under Kashiwadia orientalis. RNAcentral's name for it is "partial 18S ribosomal RNA". The record is from RNAcentral. Lineage: Eukaryota; Fungi; Ascomycota; Lecanoromycetes; Caliciales; Physciaceae.
GUCGGUGCGCCCCAUAUAUCGGAAGCCUUGUAUUAAUAGUCUGCUGCUUUUCGUAGCUAGGCAACGCUUGAUUGAUGCUGGGAAAUGCUCACGAUGCCUAACCAGCAGCCGCUAUGCUAGUCCGCUAGCAUUUCGGUUCACAGAUCAUCUUCAGGCGGUCCCUUUGAGAUUAAGAUAUGACCGGUCCCGCUGAGACAUCAGUGGAAUCAUCGUUCCGUAGGUGAA